Molecule: long non-coding RNA, 458 nt
Organism: Microplitis mediator
Lineage: Eukaryota; Metazoa; Arthropoda; Insecta; Hymenoptera; Braconidae
Exons: 3
Source: RefSeq, a predicted model, not a curated record
UUCAGAUAUCGUUUGAAAUUGUUUAUUUUCAAGUACACUAAAUUUCUGUAUGUUUUAAGCUGUAGAAUAUAAGUUUAGUAUUUUCACCAACGGUAGAACUUAAAGUCAACAAAACCUGUUAACUGUUAUUAAACAUAUAAAUUGUAUGAACAUGUCCAAGUUAAUUGUUUUUGUAUUUUUGGUUACAUUAGCAGCGGUUAGCUGUUUUGUUUGCAUAGAACAUGGAGAAUCUUGUACGAUGGAUGGUGUAAAAUGUUGCGAUCCCAAUAUUUGCAAAGAAAAUGAUUUUAAAAAUUUAAAGUGUCGCUUUACCAAUCUAAACUUUUUAGAUUUUGAAGGAGGCAAUGUCGAUGGCUGAGUAUACUUUUUAAUUUCGUCAAUUUUAUGUAUAAUUAUAAUAAUUAAGAAUAUUGCAAUAGUGAUUAUCUGAUUAAUAAAAAUAAUUUCUACAACAAUUA